This 392-nucleotide ribosomal RNA is filed under the name uncultured bacterium. RNAcentral's name for it is "partial 16S ribosomal RNA". It matches the Rfam family "Bacterial small subunit ribosomal RNA", at positions 523 to 918 of the family's 1533-position model. The record is from RNAcentral.
AUACGGAGGAUGCGAGCGUUAUCCGGAUUUAUUGGGUUUAAAGGGUGCGCAGGCGGCCAUUUAAGUCAGCGGUUAAAUCGUGGGGCUCAACCCCAUUCUGCCGUUGAUACUGGGUGGCUUGAUUGCGGUCGAGGUUGGCGGAAUUCGUUGUGUAGCGGUGAAAUGCAUAGAUAUGACGAAGAACACCGAUUGCGUAGGCAGCUGACCAGACCGCAAAUGACGCUCAUGCACGAAAGUGCGGGGAUCGAACAGGAUUAGAUACCCUGGUAGUCCGCACAGUAAACGAUGAAUACUUGUUUUCGGCGAUAUAAUGUCGGAGGCAAAGCGAAAGCGAUAAGUAUUCCACCUGGGGAGUGCGCCGGCAACGGUGAAACUCAAAUGAAUUGGCGGGG